This 540-nucleotide transfer RNA is filed under the name uncultured cyanobacterium. RNAcentral describes it as "partial contains 16S ribosomal RNA, 16S-23S ribosomal RNA intergenic spacer, and 23S ribosomal RNA". The stretch from base 211 to 283 matches the Rfam family "tRNA". Lineage: Bacteria; Bacillati; Cyanobacteriota. The record is from RNAcentral.
CAGGGAGACAACAAAAUGUUAAAUAUUAAUUUUGUCACCUUAGGUCGAUCGGUAUCUCACAUUCUUAAUUUAUUAAGGGUUUCAUUUCUUAAGUUUUUUCUAGGUCACACCCAUUACUUUUCCUGGGCCAUUAGCUCAGGUGGUUAGAGCGCACCCCUGAUAAGGGUGAGGUCCCUGGUUCAAGUCCAGGAUGGCCCAUAUCUCUAUGUUGGGGGUAUAGCUCAGCUGGUAGAGCGCCUGCUUUGCAAGCAGGAUGUCAGCGGUUCGAGUCCGCUUACCUCCACUGAUUACCACCUCUUCCAUAAUUUAUAGAAGGAAAAUGUUUUGAGUUGUGAUCAAAUUCUGAACGAGUCUAGCUUCCUAAUCAAAUGUAUUAGGAUGCUGGACUCAUUGAAUUAAUUUCAUUGUUUUCAGAGAACCUUGACAACUGCGUAGAUUAUUUUUAAAGACAAUAAGCAUCUUUAAUGAUGCAGAUUUAUUAUUUUUGCAAAUGCAUUAAUAACAAUUCUAUUAAGCUGAUGCUUCAAUUAUGAAGUUAUU